CUCAGUAACGGCGAGUGAAGCGGUAACAGCUCAAAUUUGAAAUCUGGCUCCUGCGGAGUCCGAGUUGUAAUUUGUAGAAGAUGCUUUGGGAGGUAGGCUCGGCCUAAGUUCCUUGGAACAGGACAUCAGAGAGGGUGAGAAUCCCGUAUGUGGCCGUGGCCUACGCCCGUGUAAAGCUCUUUCGACGAGUCGAGUUGUUUGGGAAUGCAGCUCAAAAUGGGUGGUAAAUUUCAUCUAAAGCUAAAUAUUGGCCAGAGACCGAUAGCGCACAAGUAGAGUGAUCGAAAGAUGAAAAGCACUUUGGAAAGAGAGUUAAACAGUACGUGAAAUUGUUGAAAGGGAAGCGCUUGCACCCAGACUUGGGCGUCGUCGAUCAUCCGAGGUUCUCCUCGGUGCACUCGGCGAGGCACAGGCCAGCAUCGGUUUGGAUGGUUGGAGAAAGGCUCUAGGAACGUAGCUCUCUUCGGGGAGUGUUAUAGCCUAGGGCGUAAUGCAGCCCAUCUGGACCGAGGACCGCGCCUUCGGGCUAGGAUGCUGGCGUAAUGGUUGCAAGCGACC
This 558-nucleotide ribosomal RNA is filed under the name Golovinomyces tabaci. RNAcentral describes it as "partial large subunit ribosomal RNA". It matches the Rfam family "Eukaryotic large subunit ribosomal RNA", at positions 79 to 649 of the family's 3401-position model. The record is from RNAcentral. Lineage: Eukaryota; Fungi; Ascomycota; Leotiomycetes; Helotiales; Erysiphaceae.